Molecule: ribosomal RNA, 665 nt
Filed under: uncultured organism
Description: bacterial SSU rRNA
Rfam family: Bacterial small subunit ribosomal RNA
Source: RNAcentral
AACUGACGCUGAUGCACGAAAGCGUGGGGAACGUACAGGAUUAGAUACCCUGGUAGUUCACGCCGUAAACGAUGAUCACUCGCUGUUGGCAAUAUAGAGUCAGCGCCUGAGCGAAAGCAUUAAGUGAUCCACCUGGGGAGUACGUCGGCAACGAUGAAACUCAAAGGAAUUGACGGGGGCCCGCACAAGCGGUGGAACAUGUGGUUUAAUUCGAUGAUACGCGAGGAACCUUACCUGGGCUUAAAUGUAGCCGGACGAUUCCGGAAACGGGAUUUCCUUAACGGCUGGUUACAAGGUGCUGCAUGGCUGUCGUCAGCUCGUGCCGUGAGGUGUCGGGUUAAGUCCCAUAACGAGCGCAACCCUUAUUCUUAGUUGCCAGCGGGUAGAGCCGGGGACUCUAAGGAGACUGCCACCGUAAGGUGUGAGGAAGGUGGGGAUGACGUCAAGUCAGCACGGCCCUUACGUCCAGGGCUACACACGUGUUACAAUGGCCGGUACAGAAGGCAGCAAACUUGAGAGAGGGCGCGAAUCCAUGAAAGCCGUUCUCAGUUCGGAUUGGAGUCUGCAACCCGACUUCAUGAAGUUGGAAUCGCUAGUAAUCGCGCAUCAGCUCUGGCGCGNCGAAUACGUUCCCGGCCCUUGUACACACCGCCCGUCAAGCCAUG